AGUUCAGAAACGAUUGUUCACUUCCUUUUCUUUUCUCGGAGAACAAAUCCUAAAAUUUAGUCUCAUCUCAAUGAAAAUUCAACCCCUGAACAUGAAUCUUACAAUCAAACAAACACUUUAAUGAAAUCGAUUCAACUCGAAAACCUUAGAUUGUCAUCGUCGUUACAUUUUCAUGAAGAUUAAUCUGAAAUGGAGGGGAAUAGAUAAUCAGAUUCAGUUUCAGUAAAUUAAUCAGAAGACUUCGUCAUUGAAAGCCAUUUGAAAGAUAAGUUGGAUCUACUUUGAUUGUUUUCGAUAGGAAUUGUUAAUUUUAUUGAUUUCGAAAAAAUUUCAGGAAAAAAGUUACGGUUUCAAAAUCCUAAUUACUCCCAUUGUAGUUGGAAUUUCUUAUUUGAUUCGUGAUGAGAGUUUAGAACUAUAAUCGUCUUAUUUUGAUAUUUUUGUCCAUUAACUCUAGUAUUUGUAUUUGAGUAUUUUUGUAUUUAGGUUUAGUAAUUUGUUUUCUGAAAUUGCAGCAAUUUGAGAAAUUUACGCAAAACAAGAGGAUUGAACAAGAUUAUUGUUGUAAGCUUCACGAAGAGGAUAACUCAAAUUAUGCUCAAAGAGGUUUGAAAUCUAUAUACAGUUUUAUGUUUACAGAGGACAUCAUUUUUUGUCAACUUCAUUGAAGCUUGCCAAACAUUUGGUUUUUGCUUCAAGUAGGUACUGUGUAAGGUUCUUAUGAGACACAAAAUAGCAGGCUAAACAGUCGUUGCAAUUAGACUACAAAAGCUUGAUAUUUAUAUGAUUAUAAAAAAAUAAAAAAUCCUAAGCUAGACAUUAUUAGUACGAGCAAGUUAAGUAGGGAACCGUCAUCAUUCUAGUAUGCAAAGGUUGUGCGUAGUUUGCUUGGUUUGAUGUUAAGUGAUCAAAAUGACUAACCACCUUCAUUUUGGUGUGAAAACAUUUUAGUAGGAAACGUGACGAAACUGUUAUUUGUACAUACCACAAAUGUAUUUAGACCGGGAUAAUAAUUUUUUAUGCUUUUAAUUUUUGAUUUAGAGUGGAUUUGUUUGUGCCCAAGAUGACUUAGGAGUUGUUGGUUGGAGGUAGUUAUACCGAGAAUUAAUAUGUACAAAGCUUGACGCUUAAGUCCUGAUUAUCACAAGGAUGGCAGUCGAAGUCGAUAUGAGGAAGAGCGUCGGAGGAGAAGAAGCAAGUUGGCCGGAAGGUAGUACAAUUCACAUAGUGUGUACCUGCUCGUCCUCUGAUGCGGUAGAUAUCUUAAUAAUCCAUUCAAGAAGGAUUAAUUUCAUGUAAGGCAUUAAUUUGAAGAAGAUAGUAGAGAAGAGUAGUGCCUCUGAUGCAAAACUUAAGGUGUGAUCCCUUCAUUUUCUGGGGUUCUCUGUUUCUGCAGCAUUAUGAGAAGUAUAGUCCCGCUGAUGCAUCACUCUCAACUCCAUGUCGUGAUUAUAUGAAAAUGAGGUACUAUUAAAUUACUAAUUAUCGUAUUUAAUAAUAUCUCUUGUCACCAUGACCAUGUAGAUUAAGUGGCCCGUAGCCAACGUUUUGAGUGUACAUGGGAUUUUGUGGGGUUCACUUCACAGUCUAACGAUUAUGCUUAAUCCCCAAAGUACGUAAGAAUCAACCGGUAUAUUUUUUUGUACACCAAUUUAUAUGGGUGCACAUAAAAGUGCACUUUUGUUUUUUGUUCUUGUUAAUGGAGGAAGAAAAGGCAAGACAGGAGGCUGUUGCAAGGGAUGUAGAAGAAAAAGGAGGUGGACAGGCGUCAAGUUGACAUGAUACAACUAUGACUGAAAAUACUGGCAUUAUGUGUUAAUACAUGCAAUUUGAUGUUGCUCCGUUGGGAUUCAAUUGCCUGUAUACGAUACAUUCAAGGCUAUUGAGAUGAGGGAUCCCACUCAACGAAAAAGUGGCUUUACUGGGCAGGUAGAUUAUGCAUCCUUAUAUCGAUAUAAAUGGACCAUCCCAAGGGUUCGUUUAUACGGAAUGAAGGUAAUGAUGGCUCUAUUCUGUCAUUCUUUUCCGCCAUGGGAUGGAAGCUUGAGAAAACUGCUGAUUAUUUUGGAUUUCACAAGAGGUGUACAUAUUAGUGCAAAGUCUAAUUUUCAUGAAAAAGUAGGUCUCGUCGUGGAUAUGGACGACCAGUUUCAUGCAUAUUUUGUAGGUGUGGACAAAGUGGUGCACAAGUGAAAAACUGACGGCAUGAACUUUUAAAAGUUUCCCGCAGGUGCACUUUUUGGUACACAUCAAAUAAUAAAGUGAAAAUUAAAUAUAUUAAAAAGUGAAAAUUAUAUAGUCAUAUGGGUACUCUUUUUGUAGCUAUCAAAAAGAGCUUUACGAAUAUAUAAAGUUUGUGAAUUUUCGAUGAGCAGUUUGAAAGAUAAAU
This is a long non-coding RNA of Papaver somniferum (opium poppy), 2389 nucleotides long. RefSeq lists it as uncharacterized. The record is from RefSeq and is a predicted model, not a curated record. NCBI's taxonomy places the organism in Eukaryota, Viridiplantae, Streptophyta, Magnoliopsida, Ranunculales, Papaveraceae. The transcript is spliced from 4 exons.